Molecule: ribosomal RNA, 468 nt
Filed under: uncultured bacterium
Lineage: Bacteria
Description: partial 16S ribosomal RNA
Rfam family: Bacterial small subunit ribosomal RNA
Source: RNAcentral
GACGAACGCUGGCGGCGUGCUUAACACAUGCAAGUCGAACGGAAAGGCCCUGCUUUUGUGGGGUGCUCGAGUGGCGAACGGGUGAGUAACACGUGAGUAACCUGCCCUUGACUUUGGGAUAACUUCAGGAAACUGGGGCUAAUACCGGAUAGGAGCUCCUGCUGCAUGGUGGGGGUUGGAAAGUUUCGGCGGUUGGGGAUGGACUCGCGGCUUAUCAGCUUGUUGGUGGGGUAGUGGCUUACCAAGGCUUUGACGGGUAGCCGGCCUGAGAGGGUGACCGGCCACAUUGGGACUGAGAUACGGCCCAGACUCCUACGGGAGGCAGCAGUGGGGAAUAUUGCACAAUGGGCGGAGGCCUGAUGCAGCAACGCCGCGUGCGGGAUGACGGCCUUCGGGUUGUAAACCGCUUUCGCCUGUGACGAAGCGUGAGUGACUGUAAUGGGUAAAGAAGCACCGGCUAACUACGUG